CAAUAGCGUAUAUUAAAGUUGUUGCAGUUAAAAAGCUCGUAGUUGGAUUUCUGGUGGGAGCGAUCGGUCUGGCGCUUAGCGCGAGUACUUGCAUCGUCUCCGGCCAUCCUUGGGGAGAGUCUGUCUGGCAUUAAGUUGUCGGGCAGAGGAUCCUCAUCGUUUACUGUGAAAAAAUUAGAGUGUUCAAAGCAGGCUUAUGCCGUUGAAUAUAUUAGCAUGGAAUAAUAAGAUAGGACUUUGGUGGUCUAUUUUGUUGGUUUGCACGCCAAAGUAAUGAUUAAUAGGGAUAGUUGGGGGUAUUCGUAUUCAAUUGUCAGAGGUGAAAUUCUUGGAUUUAUGGGAGACGAACUACUGCGAAAGCAUUUACCAAGGAUGUUUUCAUUAA
This 385-nucleotide ribosomal RNA is filed under the name uncultured eukaryote. RNAcentral's name for it is "partial 18S ribosomal RNA". It matches the Rfam family "Eukaryotic small subunit ribosomal RNA", at positions 592 to 976 of the family's 1831-position model. The record is from RNAcentral.